Molecule: ribosomal RNA, 2817 nt
Filed under: Ixodes scapularis (black-legged tick)
Lineage: Eukaryota; Metazoa; Arthropoda; Arachnida; Ixodida; Ixodidae
Description: eukaryotic LSU rRNA
Rfam family: Eukaryotic large subunit ribosomal RNA
Source: RNAcentral
CGUCCGAGAGACCGAUAGCUCACAAGUACCGUGAGGGAAAGUUGAAAAGAACUUUGAAGAGAGAGUUCAAGAGUACGUGAAACCGCUUAGAGUAAAACGGGUGGGCCCUCGAAGCACGAGGGCGGUGGGAUUCAGUUUCGCUGUAACGUGAAGCGGUGUCAGCGUCUUGGUUUACGGGCUCUCCCUGUGGGGGCUCGUUCCGGCUACCCGCGCGGUGCCGCGCACUACGAAACGCAUUUUCCACCGUCGGUAGGACGCGCGACGGGCACGGGUAAUCCUUUCAAGAACGAUUUUGAGUCCGGCCGCUGGAGGUGACCGGCGACGGCCCUUGUUUGGCUGUCGUGGGACUUAUACCUGGCCGGUAAUCGAGCACGUCACCCUGCCCAGGCCUCAUGGGCUACUCCCUUUGGGGAGGCCCGAAACGAUGCCCUCCGGAUGCGGAGCGGGAAACCCGGCUGGGUCAACGGGUCCCCUGCCUUACGCCAGGUAUUCGCCUGACUUUCGGUGUUGGGCUCGGAACCGGCGAGGCAGGUUCUCUCCGCGGAGGUUUUUUUGCGUCAAGGUUGGCGGCGAGUAGGUCGGUAACCCACCCGACCUGUCUUGAAACACGGACCUAGGAGUCUAACAUGUGCGCGAGUCAAUGGGUCCCUCAAAACCCAGAGGUGCAAUGAAACGUGAAGGCGCGGCCUCGUGCCGUGCCGAGUGGCGAUCCCGGGCCGCCCAGGGGUCCGAUGAAGGGAGCAGCACGGCCCGCCCCACACGCUCACGUCGUGGGGGCGGCGCUAGAGCGCACACGUUGGCACCCGAAAGAUGGUGAACUAUGCCCGGGCAGGACGAGGCCAGAGGAAACUCUGGUGGAGGUCCGAAGCGCUUCUGGCGUGCAAAUCGAUCGUCCGACCCAGGUAUAGAGGCGAAAGACUAAUCGAACCAUCUAGUAGAUGGUUCCCUCCGAAGUUUCUCUCAGGAUAGCUGGCGCUUGUUGCCGAGACCAGUCACACCUGGUAAAGCCAAUGAUUAGAGGCAUUGGGGUCGAUACGACUUCAACCUAUUCUCAAACUUUCAAUGGGUGUGUCGGAGGCCUUCUGGUCUGAGGCCUCCGGAAGCGAUGAGAGCGCCAAGUGGGCCACUUUUGGUAAGCAGAACUGGCGCUGUGGGAUGAACCAAACGCCGGGGUAAGGCGCCCGAUGCGGGACGCUCAUGAGAUCCUAUGAAGGGUGUUGGUUGCUUAAGACAGCAGGACGAUGGCCAUGGAAGUCGGAACCCGCUUAGAGUGUGUAACAACUCACUUGCCGACGCAACUUGCCCCGAAAAUAGAUGACGCUCAUGUGUCGAGCCUAUCCCCGGCCGCUGCCGGCAGAUGCACGCAAACAAGGGGGUGCUAAGCUGCAGCGAGUAGGAGGGCCGCUGCGGCGAGCGUUGAACGUGUCGGGCAUAAGCCCGUCUGGAGCCGCCGCUGGUGCAGAUCUUGGUGGUAGUAGCAAAUACUCAAGUGAGAACCUUGAGGACUGAAGUGGAGAAGGGUUCCAUGUGAACAGCAGUUGAACAUGGGUCAGUCGGUCCUAAGGGAAAGGAGAAGUUCUUUCCGAAGCCAGAGCACUUUUUUGCAGUGGAGAGAGCCCCGCAGUGACCGAAAGGGAAUCGGGUAAAUAAUCUCGAGCCCGGACACGGAGAUUGGUCCUUCGGGGCCCAGUGCGGUAACGCAAACCAGCUCAGAGACGCCAAUGCGAGCCCCGGGAAGAGUUUUCUUUUCUCUGUAAGGAGAUCGAGUCCCUGGAAUGGGUUCGCCCCGAAGUAGGAAUGGUGACUCCGUAGAGCAGUGCGGUUCUUGCUCUGUCCGGUGCACUCGCGUCGGCCCUUGAAAAUCCGAGUGAGGCAGUAUGAUUUUCGUGCCGCACCGUACCCACAUCCGCAGCAGGUCUCCAAGGUGAACAGCCUCUAGUGACGUAUGGACCAAUGUAGGUAAGGGAAGUCGGCAAAACGGAUCCGCAACUUGGGAUAAGGAUUGGCUCUGAGGACUGAGUCGGUCGGGCUGGGGACCUGAAGCAAAAACGGCACUGUACCGGGACUGGGUGGGGCUCGCCGUUCACGCGGCGCGGCCAAGCCCGAACCAGCUUCGGGAUUUUCCUGUGGAAAGCCUCAGCUGCGCGGCGUCUGAGGGCUUCGUGCCCAAAGUGCUAUGCUUCGGCCGGCAAAAAACAGUCAACUCAGAACUGGCACGGACCGGGGGAAUCCGACUGUCUAAUUAAAACAAUGCAUUGCGAUGGCCGGUGUUGGCGCAAUGUGAUUUCUGCCCAGUGCUCUGAAUGUCAACGUGAAGAGAUUCAUCAAAGCGCGGGUAAACGGCGAGAGUAACUAUGACUCUCUUGUCAUAGUUACUCCCGCCAUCAAAGGUGCCAUCAAAGGACAGGAAGGUGAAGGUGGACACCUCGGAAAGUUUUACGGUGGGAGGCAUCGCGUUACCAACGAGCGACACCGCCUCGGUGUGGAAAUACCUGGGCCUCCAGUUUACGGCAAUGGGUAGAAGGGCCAUGCCGUUGGCGAGAGAGCUAACCGAGCUCCUGGGUAGGGUCUCGAAGGCCCCUUUAAAACCUCAACAGAGGCUUGUGAUCUUGAAGUUUUACCUCAUUCCGCGCCUCUUACAUAGGUUGAUCUUAGGACCUUGAUCGCAGAACCUUUUGCUCCGACUAGACAAGAUGGUCAGAGCCGCAAUGAGAAGGUGGCUGGCACUGCCACACGAUGGUCCGAUGGCAUACUUUCAUGCCGAGGUCUCCGAGGGUGGGUUGGGCGUCCCGUCAUUGAAGACGACCAUACCAGGUA